RNAcentral lists this unclassified non-coding RNA (337 nucleotides) under soil metagenome. RNAcentral describes it as "partial contains 5.8S ribosomal RNA, internal transcribed spacer 2, and large subunit ribosomal RNA". The stretch from base 1 to 120 matches the Rfam family "5.8S ribosomal RNA", at positions 35 to 154 of the family's 154-position model. The record is from RNAcentral.
GAUGAAGAACGUAGCGAAAUGCGAUAAGUAGUGUGAAUUGCAGAAUUCAGUGAAUCAUCGAAUCUUUGAACGCACAUUGCGCCCCAUGGUUUUCCGUGGGGCAUGCCUGUUCGAGCGUCAUUUACCCCCUCAAGCUCCGCUUGGUGUUGGGCGUCUGUCCCGCUUCGCGCGCGGACUCGCCCCAAAGGUAUUGGCAGCGGUCGUGCCAGCUUCUCGCGCAGCACAUUGCGCUUCUCGAGGCACCGGUGGGCCCGCGUCCAUCAAGCUCACCCCCCCAGUUUGACCUCGGAUCAGGUAGGGAUACCCGCUGAACUUAAGCAUAUCAAUAAGCGGAGGA